This 274-nucleotide ribosomal RNA is filed under the name uncultured bacterium. RNAcentral's name for it is "partial 16S ribosomal RNA". It matches the Rfam family "Bacterial small subunit ribosomal RNA", at positions 523 to 796 of the family's 1533-position model. The record is from RNAcentral.
AUACAGAGGGUGCAAGCGUUAAUCGGAAUCACUGGGCGUAAAGGGCGCGUAGGUGGAUAAAUAAGUUGGCUGUGAAAGCCCCGGGCUCAACCUGGGAAUUGCAUUCGAUACUGCAGAGCUAGAGUAUGGUAGAGGGGAGUGGAAUUUCCGGUGUAGCGGUGAAAUGCGUAGAUAUCGGAAGGAACACCAGUGGCGAAGGCGACUUCCUGGGCCAAUACUGACGCUGAGGUGCGAAAGCGUGGGGAGCAAACAGGAUUAGAAACCCCAGUAGUCC